UGGGGAAUCUUGCGCAAUGGGCGAAAGCCUGACGCAGCGACGCCGCGUGCGGGAAGAAGGCCCUCGGGUUGUAAACCGCUUUCAGGAGGGACGAAGCCACUCGGGUUAAUAGCCCAGAGGGUGACGGUACCUCCAGAAGAAGCCCCGGCUAACUACGUGCCAGCAGCCGCGGUAAUACGUAGGGGGCGAGCGUUGUCCGGAUUUAUUGGGCGUAAAGAGCGCGUAGGCGGCCAGGUAGGUCCGACGUGAAAUCUCGAGGCUCAACCUCGAGCGGUCGUUGGAUACCGCCUGGCUAGAGUCCGGAAGAGGAGAGUGGAAUUCCUGGUGUAGCGGUGAAAUGCGCAGAUAUCAGGAAGAACACCUAUGGCGAAAGCAGCUCUCUGGGACGGUACUGACGCUGAGGCGCGAAAGCGUGGGGAGCGAACAGGAUUAGAUACCCUGGUAGUCCACGCCGUAAACGAUGGGUGCUAGGUGUGGGCGGCGUCGACUCCGUCCGUGCCG
Molecule: ribosomal RNA, 501 nt
Filed under: uncultured Actinomycetes bacterium
Lineage: Bacteria; Bacillati; Actinomycetota; Actinomycetes
Description: bacterial SSU rRNA
Rfam family: Bacterial small subunit ribosomal RNA
Source: RNAcentral